Molecule: ribosomal RNA, 521 nt
Filed under: uncultured Glomeraceae
Lineage: Eukaryota; Fungi; Glomeromycota; Glomeromycetes; Glomerales; Glomeraceae
Description: SSU rRNA
Rfam family: Eukaryotic small subunit ribosomal RNA
Source: RNAcentral
AGCAGCCGCGGUAAUUCCAGCUCCAAUAGCGUAUAUUAAAGUUGUUACAGUUAAAAAGCUCGUAGUUGAAUUUUGGGAUCAAUGGGUUGGUCAUGCCCUCGGUAUGUACUGAUUUCAUUGGUUCUCACCUUCUAAGGAACCAUGAUGUCAUUCGUUUGAUGUUGUGGGGAAUUAGGACUGUUACCUUGAAAAAAUUAGAGUGUUUAAAGCAGGCUAACGUUUGAAUACAUUAGCAUGGAAUAAUGAAAUAGGACAUCCGAUUCUAUUUUGUUGGUUUUUAGGAUCGAUGUAAUGAUUAAUAGGGAUAGUUGGAGGCAUUAGUAUUCAAUUGUCAGAGGUGAAAUUCUUGGAUUUAUUGAAGACUAACUACUGCGAAAGCAUUUGCUAAGGAUGUUUUCAUUAAUCAAGAACGAAAGUUAGAGGAUCGAAGACGAUCAGAUACCGUCGUAGUCUUAACCAUAAACUAUGCCGACUAGGGAUCGGAUGAUGCUUAUUUUUAAUGACUCAUUCGGCACCUUACG